GAUGAACGCUGGCGGCGUGCCUAAUACAUGCAAGUCGAGCGAACGGACGAGAAGCUUGCUUCUCUGAUGUUAGCGGCGGACGGGUGAGUAACACGUGGAUAACCUACCUAUAAGACUGGGAUAACUUCGGGAAACCGUAGCUAAUACCGGAUAAUAUUUUGAACCGCAUGGUUCAAAAGUGAAAGACGGUCUUGCUGUCACUUAUAGAUGGAUCCGCGCUGCAUUAGCUAGUUGGUAAGGUAACGGCUUACCAAGGCAACGAUGCAUAGCCGACCUGAGAGGGUGAUCGGCCACACUGGAACUGAGACACGGUCCAGACUCCUACGGGAGGCAGCAGUAGGGAAUCUUCCGCAAUGGGCGAAAGCCUGACGGAGCAACGCCGCGUGAGUGAUGAAGGUCUUCGGAUCGUAAAACUCUGUUAUUAGGGAAGAACAUAUGUGUAAGUAACUGUGCACAUCUUGACGGUACCUAAUCAGAAAGCCACGGCUAACUACGUGCCAGCAGCCGCGGUAAUACGUAGGUGGCAAGCGUUAUCCGGAAUUAUUGGGCGUAAAGCGCGCGUAGGCGGUUUUUUAAGUCUGAUGUGAAAGCCCACGGCUCAACCGUGGAGGGUCAUUGGAAACUGGAAAACUUGAGUGCAGAAGAGGAAAGUGGAAUUCCAUGUGUAGCGGUGAAAUGCGCAGAGAUAUGGAGGAACACCAGUGGCGAAGGCGACUUUCUGGUCUGUAACUGACGCUGAUGUGCGAAAGCGUGGGGAUCAAACAGGAUUAGAUACCCUGGUAGUCCACGCCGUAAACGAUGAGUGCUAAGUGUUAGGGGGUUUCCGCCCCUUAGUGCUGCAGCUAACGCAUUAAGCACUCCGCCUGGGGAGUACGACCGCAAGGUUGAAACUCAAAGGAAUUGACGGGGACCCGCACAAGCGGUGGAGCAUGUGGUUUAAUUCGAAGCAACGCGAAGAACCUUACCAAAUCUUGACAUCCUUUGACAACUCUAGAGAUAGAGCCUUCCCCUUCGGGGGACAAAGUGACAGGUGGUGCAUGGUUGUCGUCAGCUCGUGUCGUGGGAUGUUGGGUUAAGUCCCGCAACGAGCGCAACCCUUAAGCUUAGUUGCCAUCAUUAAGUUGGGCACUCUAAGUUGACUGCCGGUGACAAACCGGAGGAAGGUGGGGAUGACGUCAAAUCAUCAUGCCCCUUAUGAUUUGGGCUACACACGUGCUACAAUGGACAAUACAAAGGGCAGCGAAACCGCGAGGUCAAGCAAAUCCCAUAAAGUUGUUCUCAGUUCGGAUUGUAGUCUGCAACUCGACUACAUGAAGCUGGAAUCGCUAGUAAUCGUAGAUCAGCAUGCUACGGUGAAUACGUUCCCGGGUCU
RNAcentral lists this ribosomal RNA (1372 nucleotides) under uncultured bacterium. RNAcentral describes it as "bacterial SSU rRNA". It matches the Rfam family "Bacterial small subunit ribosomal RNA", at positions 28 to 1381 of the family's 1533-position model. The record is from RNAcentral.